Molecule: long non-coding RNA, 935 nt
Organism: Mus musculus (house mouse)
Lineage: Eukaryota; Metazoa; Chordata; Mammalia; Rodentia; Muridae
Product: predicted gene, 46800
Exons: 2
Source: RefSeq, a predicted model, not a curated record
AACGGUCAAUCUGGCAGAAGCAUUCGAAUCCUCUCCUCGAGCUUUCUGAGAUGCACGGUACACAAGUAUCAUCCGCAGUGUCUGCAUUGGUUAUGCUCAGUGUAAUGAAACCAUUCUUCUAGCAAAAUAAGGCAAGCAAGGAUGAUUUAACGAUGAGUUGGGGAAGCACUCAGGACGCUAAGGUAGAAGGAUUUCCUGAGCUGCUUCCGGGGUUGCACGAGAUGCCUGCAUGCGUUGUCAUUGCGUGAUACCCCAUUAAUAUUUGUGUUUGUGUAUCAAAUCAAAUUAAAUUUGAAGUUUCAUUUAGAAAUUGCCCUGAAAGUUAAGACAACGUCCUCAAUAUUUAUGAAUCCAUUUGCGGGAAACUCUGCGAUUCUGUUGAGUUCAUUCGGUUGUUUGCAGUCGCUUGUUUUUCUGCGCUGGGCUGGUUCCUGCCUGAGUUCUCUUCAAGCGGUUUUAACAGUCCUGGCUUUGCAUUGGGAUCUUUGAUUCACAUGGAGUGGAUUUCUGCACAGGGUGAUAGAUAUGACUCCAAUUUCAUUUUUCUACACUUGGUCAUCAAAGGAUGCUCUCAACGGAAGACUGGUCAAGCAUCACAAAGUAGAAAAUAAACCAAGAGGGUAGACCUGUCUACAGGAUGAGGAUGAAGGUGGCUCUAAUUGCAAAGGGAGCUCUUAAGACUAAAGAACCAGCAAAGAUCCCCCACACUGUGAGACUUGCUGGAAUAUCUGGAAAUUGCGUGCUGAACACCUACUGUGUGCCAGGCAACAUUCGGGAAAUCUGUUGGUGUCUCACUGAGUUAUAUUCUCUGGGAAUGUACAGAAAUGAGCUGGCAAAUUCAGGACAGAACAUUGUUUCAGGGAGGCAUUAGAGGUGAGUCAGCCAAAGGACCCUGCCAAGUGAGGAGAACUUAAUAAACUGAACUUUAUCAUGCA